CAGCCGCCACGGUAAUACGUAGGUGGCAAGCGUUGUCCGGAUUUAUUGGGCGUAAAGCGAGCGCAGGCGGUUUCUUAAGUCUGAUGUGAAAGCCCCCGGCUCAACCGGGGAGGGUCAUUGGAAACUGGGAGACUUGAGUGCAGAAGAGGAGAGUGGAAUUCCAUGUGUAGCGGUGAAAUGCGUAGAUAUAUGGAGGAACACCAGUGGCGAAGGCGGCUCUCUGGUCUGUAACUGACGCUGAGGCUCGAAAGCGUGGGGAGCAAACAGGAUUAGAUACCCGGGUAGUCCCUGUCUCUUAUAA
This 301-nucleotide ribosomal RNA is filed under the name uncultured bacterium. RNAcentral's name for it is "partial 16S ribosomal RNA". It matches the Rfam family "Bacterial small subunit ribosomal RNA", at positions 509 to 809 of the family's 1533-position model. The record is from RNAcentral.